RNAcentral lists this transfer RNA (68 nucleotides) under Hydropsyche rhomboana. Its description in RNAcentral is "tRNA-Leu". The record is from RNAcentral. Lineage: Eukaryota; Metazoa; Arthropoda; Insecta; Trichoptera; Hydropsychidae.
UCUAAUAUGACAGAAUUAAUGUAAUGAAUUUAAGCUUCAUUUAUAAAGAUUAUAAUCUUUUUUUAGAA